GACGAACGCUGGCGGCGUGCUUAACACAUGCAAGUCGAACGGAAAGGCCCUGCUUUUGUGGGGUGCUCGAGUGGCGAACGGGUGAGUAACACGUGAGUAACCUGCCCUUGACUUUGGGAUAACUUCAGGAAACUGGGGCUAAUACCGGAUAGGAGCUCCUGCUGCAUGGUGGGGGUUGGAAAGUUUCGGCGGUUGGGGAUGGACUCGCGGCUUAUCAGCUUGUUGGUGGGGUAGUGGCUUACCAAGGCUUUGACGGGUAGCCGGCCUGAGAGGGUGACCGGCCACAUUGGGACUGAGAUACGGCCCAGGCUCCUACAGGAGGCAGCAGUGGGAAAUAUUGCACAAUGGGCGGAAGCCUGAUGCAGCAACGCCGCGUGCGGGAUGACGGCCUUCGGGUUGUAAACCGCUUUCGCCUGUGACGAAGCGUGAGUGACGGUAAUGGGUAAAGAAGCACCGGCUAACUACGUG
Molecule: ribosomal RNA, 468 nt
Filed under: uncultured bacterium
Lineage: Bacteria
Description: partial 16S ribosomal RNA
Rfam family: Bacterial small subunit ribosomal RNA
Source: RNAcentral